Molecule: ribosomal RNA, 253 nt
Filed under: uncultured bacterium
Lineage: Bacteria
Description: partial 16S ribosomal RNA
Rfam family: Bacterial small subunit ribosomal RNA
Source: RNAcentral
UACGUGGGGGGCAAGCGUUGUCCGGAUUUAUUGGGCGUAAAGAGCGUGUAGGCGGCUUUACAGGUCCGUUGUGAAAACUCGAGGCUCAACCUCGAGACGCCGGUGGAAACCGUAAGGCUAGAGUCCGGAAGAGGAGAGUGGAAUUCCUGGUGUAGCGGUGAAAUGCGCAGAUAUCAGGAAGAACACCCGUGGCGAAGGCGGCUCUCUGGGACGGUACUGACGCUGAGACGCGAAAGCGUGGGGAGCGAACAGG